GUCUUAAACCUAGCCCAAUCUCCUCCCUAUGAAUUAAUUUUCUAUUUUUUUACCUAAUAAAACAUUUUCCCAUUCUAGUAGAGGCGAUCGAAAAAUUAUUUGGAGCUUUAGAUACAGUACCGCAAGGGAAAGGUGAAAUAAUAAUGAAAUAAUAUUUAAACAAAACAAAGCAAAGAUUAAAUCUUGUACCUUUUGCAUCAUGGUCUAGCCAGUCAAACCAAGCAAAAAGAAUAUAAAGUUUGACCCCCCGAAACUAAGUGAGCUACUUCAAAACAGCCUUAUGGGCAAACCCAUCUCUGUUGCAAAAGCGUGGGAAGAUUUUCAAGUAGAGGCGAUAAACCUACCGAACUUAGAGAUAGCUGGUUAUUCAGGAAAAGGAUUUUAGUCCUACUUUAAGUUUUUAAUAACAAUAAAUAUUUCUACAAACUUAAAAGCUAUUCAAAUAAGGUUCAGCUUAUUUGAAAAAGGAUUCAACCUAAAAAACAGGGUAAUGUUUUUAUCUAUGUGACUAAGUGGGCCUAAAAGCAGCCAUCUUUAUAAAAGCGUUAAAGCUUUCUCAUAAGUUAAACCAAUUUCUACAACUUUACAAAACCCUUACUUCAUACUGAAUGAUUCUAUAAAAUUAUAGAAAACCUUAUGCUAGAACUAGUAACAAGAAGAAGACCUUCUCCAUAAAUGUAAACAUAACCCGGAAUGAACAAAUCACCGGAACUUAUCGCCAAUGAAAAAAUUAUAGCAACUUUUCAAGAAAAAACUAUUUUAUCAAGCGUUAACCUUACACAAGAACAUUUCAGGAAAGAUUUAAAGAAGAGGAAGGAACUCGGCAAACAAUUAACCCCGCCUGUUUACCAAAAACAUCGCCUUGUGGUAAAAUAUACAAGGUCUAGCCUGCCCAGUGAGUUAUUUUAACGGCCGCGGUACCCUAACCGUGCAAAGGUAGCGCAAUCACUUGUUCUUUAAAUAGGGACUAGUAUGAACGGCAUCACGAGGGUUAUUCUGUCUCCCCCUUUUAAUCAGUGAAACUGAUCUCCCCGUGAAGAAGCGAGGAUAUUAUUAUAAGACGAGAAGACCCCAUGGAGCUUUAAACUCAGAAACACCAGCUACUUCUUAGACCAAAUUAAUUGGCUUCCAUGAUUUCUAGUUUUCGGUUGGGGUGACCAUGGAGUACAACACAACCUCCUUGAUGUAACGGAACUAUUUUCCUUAUUUAAGAACUACAGUUCUAAAAAUCAACAUAUUGACAAAAAUUGAUCCAAAUUUCUUUGAUCAACGAACCAAGUUACCCUGGGGAUAACAGCGCAAUCCAUUUCAAGAGCUCAUAUCGACAAAUGGGUUUACGACCUCGAUGUUGGAUCAGGGUACCCCAGUGGUGCAGCCGCUACUAAAGGUUCGUUUGUUCAACGAUUAAAACCCUACGUGAUCUGAGUUCAGACCGGAGUAAUCCAGGUCGGUUUCUAUCUAUAAAGAGCUUUUUCCAGUACGAAAGGACCGAAAAAACAUGGUCAAUGCAAAAGUAAACCAUAACUGAAAAUUAGUGACUUCAACUUAAUUUACUUCAGUCUUCGUAAAAUUUUUAGAUAAAAAAC
Molecule: ribosomal RNA, 1586 nt
Filed under: Kalophrynus pleurostigma
Lineage: Eukaryota; Metazoa; Chordata; Amphibia; Anura; Microhylidae
Description: 16S ribosomal RNA
Rfam family: Bacterial large subunit ribosomal RNA
Source: RNAcentral